RNAcentral lists this long non-coding RNA (3524 nucleotides) under Homo sapiens (human). Its description in RNAcentral is "HSALNT0188784". The record is from RNAcentral. Lineage: Eukaryota; Metazoa; Chordata; Mammalia; Primates; Hominidae.
AGAUGUUCCCAGGACGCGAGCUAAGUCUGCCCGGCCGGCGCGCGCCGCUUCCGCUUUGGUGGGAAGGACCUCCCUUCCCCCUUAUAGAAACACUUUCUCCAGGCCGGGCCGGGCUUGGUAAACCUCAGCCGUGCCUGGGUAGAGGACGCCGGGCUGGGCCGAGCGGGGGUGGAAUGAGGGCGUCUAGAACAGAGAAAACUAAAUGGGGUCGUCCCCCCAGUAAUCUGGAAAACAGUUACAGCAACAGGCUCCUCUCAUCAGACGGCAGUGCUGGUCGUUUCCUCACUGGUUUGCGGGGAAGGCUGGGCAGAAAAAGGAUGCAACCUUGUUCUCAACCACUUGCUAUCUCGUAGGGUCUUGCUGUGUCACCCAGAUUGGAGUGCAGUGGUGUGAUCACAGCUCACUGCAGCCUUGACCUCUAGGCUCAAGUGAGCCCCUACCAAGCAGCUGGGACUACAAGUGCGCACCACCAUACCCAGCUAAUUUUUUCAUUUUUUGUAGAGACAGGGUCUCACUGUAUUGCUCAGGCUGGUCUUGAACUCCUGAGAUCAAGCGAUCCUCCCACUGUGGCCUCCCAAAGUGCUGGGAUUAUAGAUGUGAGCUACCAUGCCUGGCCUCAAAACAUUUUUGUAAUCUGGCUGUUUUCCAGUUGGAUGGACUCUGAGUGCAAUCUCAAUGUCUUUCCUGAUCAGUAAGAGGAAGAAAGGAGCUGUUGUAUAAUCUUUGGUCCACUUGCUAUAUAGGAAUAGAUCUUUACUGCUACAUAUACAUAAUUCUGUACGGAACAGUCAUGUUCCUUGGAUUCUGACAGCAUCGCCAAUAUGUGCUUUGAAACCUCCUACCUGGCACAGAUAUGAUGAAUCUACUCAUAUCCUUGAACCUCUUUUUCAUCACUUUUCAUCAUUCAAACAUUUUUAUUGAAUCUAUAUGCUAAGCUCUGUAUAUAAAGUAUUAGAUAACUUGUACAGAGUUCAUGUGGGGUAUGAUAAACAAUGAGACUGGAAAGGUAAGCAGUGGGUAGAUCAUCCUUUAUCCUAAGAGCAGUGUAGCCUUUGAAUGGUUUUAAGCAGGAGAGUAGCAUAAUCAGAUUUGCAUUUUAGAUCCAUGUGGUUGCAGUGAGGAGGAUAGAGAGAGCAAGACUGAAGUCAGGGGGGCCAGGCAAGGUUUUUGUAGUACCUGAGGAGAAAAACGAGAAAUGAUGUGGUCUGGACUAGGAAAGUGAUAGUGGUGAUGGAGAGGACGUAGAAAUGCCCAGGGGGCAUCCAAGUAGAAACAUCUCUCCAACUCGUCAGAACUUCCCAACUGUGUGCCUCAGGAAGAGUUUACGGUGGUGCUGCAUAAUGGGCUUCACAAUUCUCAGGGCAGCACAAGCUUCCUGAGUCAGAGAGCAAUCUUGGUUAUGCCAGAUUGCAUCAUCCAGCAUAUAAAACACCAUCAUUUACUAUGUGUGUACUGACAUGGAAAAGGUUGGGAAGCACUGAUGUAGGCUGUGGGAUAAAUAAUUCUGAAGCUCAGGAGAGGAAUCAGGAUGAUAGAUAAGAGAUUUGUGAGUCCUCAGAACGUUGGUGGUUACUGAAGUCAUGGAGUUGAGGAGAUCAUGCAAGGAGAGAAAAGAAAGGCAGGAACAGAACCCCAAGGAACAUCAACAUUAGAGGGGGGUCUCCAGAGAGGGAGAAAGAAAACUGAAUGAAUGCUGUCACCAGAACCCAAGAAAGGGAUUUCCAAAAAAAAAGACCAAAUACAGUCGGUCCUUCUUAUUGGUGGCUUCCACAUCCAUGCACUCAAUCAAUCUCAGAUCAGAAAAAAUAAAAGAAUAAAAACUACAUCUCUCUGAAGACUAGAUCAGAAAAAAAAAUAACUACAGCAAUAAAAAUACAAAAUUUUAAAAAUUUAGUGUUAACUAUUUACAUAGUAUUUACAUGAUAUUACAUAUUAUAAGUAAUCUAGAGAUGAUUUAAAGUAUAUAGGAGAAUACCCCUAGGUCAUUUGCAAAUACUAUACUAUUUUAUGUAAGGGACUUAAGCAUCCUUUGAUUUUUGUAUCCUUGUGGGUCCUGGAACCAAUUCCCCAUGAAUAGGAAGGGAUGAUUUUUUGGCCCCGAUGUUGCUGAGUCAAGUUGGAUCAGGACAGAGACAUCCCCACUGACUCUGGCCACAUGUCAUUGGAGACUUUGAUAAAACCAGACUUUAUUUGUUUAUUUAAAAUAGAGAUGGGGUCUCACUCCAUUGCCCAGGCUGUUCUCGAACUCCUGGGCUCAAGCAGUCCUCCCCUCUUGGCCUUCCAAAGUGUUAGGAUUACAGGCGUGAGCCACCACGCCUGACCUGGCAAAACCAGAUUCUGAAGGAUUGAGAAAAAUUUACAAAGUAAGGAAUGGAGACAGGAGAUGUUUAAAACUUUUUGGCUGGGCGCGGUGUCCCAUGCCUGUAAUUCCAGCACUUUGGGAGGACGAGGUGGGUGGAUCACCUGAGGUCAGGAAUUCAAGACCGGCCUGGCCUACAUGUGAAACCCCGUCUCUACUAAAAAUACAAAAAUUAGCUGUGUGCGGUGGCAUGUGCCUGUAAUCCCAGCUACUCAGGAGGCUGAGGCAGGAGAAUCGCUUGAGCCUGGGAGGUGGAGGUUGCAGUGAGCCAAUUGCGCCAUUGCACUCCAGCCUGGGUGAUAGAGUGAGACUCUGUCUCAAAAACAAAACAAAAACACAAACAACAACAAAAAAACUUUUCUAAGAUUUUGGCUAUGCUGUGAGGGAAAAAUUAGGCAGAUAGAUGGGUGGUACAGUAAGAGUUAUUUUAGAAAACACUGGCUAAUUUUAAAAAUUAUUCAUUUAAGAUUAGUUUUUAUAAAAUGUAAUAUGUCCAUAUGGUUUAAUAAUCAAAUAAUGCAGAAGCAAUUAUUUGCUGCAUUCCUUACCUCCAGCAAUGAGCCAUUUUAACUUUUUGGCUGAUUCUUCUAUAUGGCUAAAUAUGCUUAUACUGCCAUUCCUUUUUUUUUUUUUUUUUUUUUUUUAAGAUAGAGUCUCACUCUGCUGUCCAGGCUGGAGUGCAAUGGCACAAUCUCGGCUCACUGCAACCUCUGCUUUCCAGGCUCAAGCAAUCCUCCCACUUCGGCCUCCCGAGUAGCUAGGACUAUAGGCACACGCCACCAUGUUCCGCUAAUUUUAAAAUUUUUUUUGUAGAGAUGAAGUCUUAUUGUCUUACCCAGGCUGGUCUGUAACUCCUGGGCUCAAGUGAUUCUCCUGCCUUGGCCUCUCAGUGUUGAGAUUACAGACAUGAGCCACUGCACCCGACCUGAGGACCUCAUUUUUAUGGGCACUAAUUGCACAUCCUUUUUGUUUUUGUUUUUGUUUUUUUUUUUUUGAGACGGAGUCUCGCCCUGUCGCCCAGGCUGGAAUGCAGUCGUGUGAUCUCAGCUCACUGCAACCUCCACCUCCCGGGUUCAAGCGAUUCUCCUGCCCCAGCCUCCCAAGUAGCUGGGAUUACAGGCGCGUGCCACUACGCCCAGCUAAUUUUUGUAUUUUUAGUAGAGAC